ACUACGGGCGGCAGCAGUGAGGAAUAUUGGUCAAUGGACGGAAGUCUGAACCGGCCAUGCCGCGUGCAGGAAGACGGCUCUAUGAGUUGUAAACUGCUUUUGUACAAGGGUAAACCUGAAUACGUGUAUUCAGCUGAAAGUACUGUACGAAUAAGGAUCGGCUAACUCCGUGCCAGCAGCCGCGGUAAUACGGAGGAUCCAAGCGUUAUCCGGAUUUAUUGGGUUUAAAGGGUGCGUAGGCGGAUUGAUAAGUUAGUGGUGAACUGUCGGAGCUUAACUCGGGAACUGCCUCUAAUACUGUUGAUCUAGAGAGUAGAUGCGGUAGGCGGAAUGUAUGGUGUAGCGGUGAAAUGCUUAGAGAUCAUACAGAACACCGAUUGCGAAGGCAGCUUACCAAUCUAUAUCUGACGUUGAGGCACGAAAGCGUGGGGAGCAAACAGGAUUAGAUACCCGAGUAGUC
This 460-nucleotide ribosomal RNA is filed under the name uncultured bacterium. Its description in RNAcentral is "partial 16S ribosomal RNA". It matches the Rfam family "Bacterial small subunit ribosomal RNA", at positions 338 to 795 of the family's 1533-position model. The record is from RNAcentral.